UCCCUGGAGGACUAGUGGUUAGGCCACAUGCUCUCACCGUUGCAGCCCGGGUUCGAUUCCCGGCCAGGGAA
RNAcentral lists this transfer RNA (71 nucleotides) under Pangasianodon hypophthalmus (striped catfish). It matches the Rfam family "tRNA". Rfam says of the family: Transfer RNA (tRNA) molecules are approximately 80 nucleotides in length. Their secondary structure includes four short double-helical elements and three loops (D, anti-codon, and T loops). Lineage: Eukaryota; Metazoa; Chordata; Actinopteri; Siluriformes; Pangasiidae. The record is from Rfam by way of RNAcentral.